AGCGAACGCUGGCGGCGUGCUUAACACAUGCAAGUCGAACGGAAAGGCACUGCUAUUUUGCUCUUCUCGAUUGCCGAUCGCGUGAGUAAGAGGAGUGUAACCGGCUCUACAUUUUGGUGUAGGUUCAGGAAGCGGAAGUUACGAUCGUAUAGCAUCCCCCCUAGCAUUGUAAGCAUGGGAAAUUCUAGGCUGGCGCGGUUGGACGAGCGGCUGACGAGCUAGUUGGUUGGCUAGGGGCUUGCCAAGGCAUUGACGGGUAGCCGGCAUGAGAGGGUGAACGGCGACAUUGGGACUGCGAUACGGCCCAGACUCCUACGGGAGGCAGCAGUGGGGAAUAUUGCACAAUGGGAGGAAGCCUGAUGCAGCAACGCCGCGUGCGGGAUGACGGUCUUCGGGUUGUAAAACGCUUUCGGUUGUGACGAAGCGUGAGUGACGGUAAUGGGUAAAGAAGCACCGGCUAACUACGUG
This 468-nucleotide ribosomal RNA is filed under the name uncultured bacterium. RNAcentral's name for it is "partial 16S ribosomal RNA". It matches the Rfam family "Bacterial small subunit ribosomal RNA", at positions 29 to 507 of the family's 1533-position model. The record is from RNAcentral.